UACGUAGGGUGCAAGCGUUGUCCGGAAUUAUUGGGCGUAAAGAGCUCGUAGGCGGCUUGUUGCGUCGGCUGUGAAAUCCCGAGGCUCAACCUCGGGUCUGCAGUCGAUACGAGCAAACUAGAGUGUUGCAGGGGAGACUGGAAUUCCUGGUGUAGCGGUGAAAUGCGCAGAUAUCAGGAGGAACACCUGCGGUGUAGGCGGCUUUCUGGACCAUUGCUGACGCUGAGACACGAAAGCGUGGGUAGCAAACAGG
RNAcentral lists this ribosomal RNA (253 nucleotides) under uncultured bacterium. RNAcentral describes it as "partial 16S ribosomal RNA". It matches the Rfam family "Bacterial small subunit ribosomal RNA", at positions 524 to 776 of the family's 1533-position model. The record is from RNAcentral.